AGCGAACGCUGGCGGCAGGCUUAACACAUGCAAGUCGAGCGGGCGUAGCAAUACGUCAGCGGCAGACGGGUGAGUAACGCGUGGGAACGUACCUUUUGGUUCGGAACAACACAGGGAAACUUGUGCUAAUACCGGAUAAGCCCUUACGGGGAAAGAUUUAUCGCCGAAAGAUCGGCCCGCGUCUGAUUAGCUAGUUGGUGAGGUAACGGCUCACCAAGGCGACGAUCAGUAGCUGGUCUGAGAGGAUGAUCAGCCACAUUGGGACUGAGACACGGCCCAAACUCCUACGGGAGGCAGCAGUGGGGAAUAUUGGACAAUGGGCGCAAGCCUGAUCCAGCCAUGCCGCGUGAGUGAUGAAGGCCCUAGGGUUGUAAAGCUCUUUUGUGCGGGAAGAUAAUGACGGUACCGCAAGAAUGAGCCCCGGCUAACUUCGUGCCAGCAGCCGCGU
This 448-nucleotide ribosomal RNA is filed under the name uncultured bacterium. RNAcentral's name for it is "bacterial SSU rRNA". It matches the Rfam family "Bacterial small subunit ribosomal RNA", at positions 29 to 520 of the family's 1533-position model. The record is from RNAcentral.